This is a long non-coding RNA of Musa acuminata AAA Group (dessert banana), 1344 nucleotides long. RefSeq lists it as uncharacterized. Lineage: Eukaryota; Viridiplantae; Streptophyta; Magnoliopsida; Zingiberales; Musaceae. The record is from RefSeq and is a predicted model, not a curated record. The transcript is spliced from 2 exons.
GCCACAUCCACUGCUACAAUGUUGCUCAUGGUUCUGUCGAUUAACCUUAUAGAUAUUUCUGCAGCUCAACGUAUUAUCUAACAGGUCUGUACCAGUUGUGAUAUAUGUAUACAUAUGUAUGUCAACUAAAAUAUCAGUGUUCUUGAUUUCUUCGUUGCUCAAGUUAGUAAUGUGUUGAAACUAAAAUAGUUUUAGGAUUCGAAAAGAUUAUGAGAAAUAAGAUGAAUAACUAUUUAUAGUUAUGAGUUUCUAAUCAUUUACGAUUUAAAAUAUAAUUAAUUAGAAAAGAGAAUCGUUAAGUUAGUCAAAAUAAGUAUUGAGACGAUCGAUGAUAUGAUAAUAUCCUCGUUAUAUUCGAUGUGGUAUAAUAAUUAUUGACGUGAUCGGCAUAACGAUUAUUAACUCUUGGGAUGAUGAUUUUUAUUGUUAUAUAAAUUAUUAUUUUUAACGAUAGUUAUAUAAAUCCACAAUAAAUUUUUUAUUAUUGUAAGAUAAAGAUAUAUUCAGACCAAAAUCAAAAAGUGACUACUACCAAUUUGGCAAGACCUUAAUGUCCUUCCAUCCUCUAGUUGAUAUAUGGUUCCCAUCUCCCAUGCCAACCUGUUUACUGGAAGUCAACGUCAAAGUCAAAGUCAACGACCUCCAGUUUCUUCAAUUGCGGCCGUCUCACCAGCUUCCAAGAGACAGUGAGCUGGCGGUCUUCACAAGAACCAUCCAAUUCAAUCAUCCAUUCCAAUGAUCUCCUUCGACCGAUAUCAAGUAUAGAGAUCGAUCGAUCGCUCGAUCUAUUUCUUUCUGCCUCUUGUUGCCAUGGCUGAAUCCACGAAACAGAUCGUCGUCGUCAUUCUUCUCACCAUCCUCCUGCUCGGAUGCCAUCCUACCAUCUCCUUCUCCUGUACUCCCAGGAAGGCAUUAGCCAGAGCUGGACGAUGCGGGGAGUCGGACGAUCCCAUCCCAAGCCCCACUACCAUGACAGCGUCUCAAGCCUCGAGGAGGCCUUACGUGCCACCGUCGCCUGCCGGAAAUCGAGUGGUAAUUUACGAAGCACCCCCUCAAGCGCCGCCCCCGCUCGUAGCGUAGACGAGCAGCGAAUGCCGAGUCUCUUAUUUAUGUUCGUCUGUUAGUAUCUCCUAUACCAAAGCCAAUAAUAGCUUUACAUAAAGCAACGUUUGGAUGCAUAUGAUUACUCCGACCACAAACAUCUAAUUAGACUUCGAUCCAAGAGAUGGGAGAAAGGUAGGAGACGACAUGGAGGAGAGCUGAAACAGAAAGGAAACCAGAAGGAACUCUGCUGGGUUUGGCCAUAAAACUUGAUUCCUGCUCAAUAAAUUGUGCUUACAAUUA